GUCCCUGUAGUGCAAAGGAUAGCGCGUUGGACUUUUAUUCCAAAAUGUGGGUUCAAAUCCCACCGGGGUCU
Non-coding RNA from Trichonephila inaurata madagascariensis, 71 nucleotides. NCBI's taxonomy places the organism in Eukaryota, Metazoa, Arthropoda, Arachnida, Araneae, Nephilidae. The record is from the annotation of a GenBank genome assembly.